UUCCAGAUAUAAAUCAGUUAGCGCAAGGCUCAUUAGUGGGCCAUUCCCCUAAGCCCGACACAGGAAUCGUUUCGGGCUCUUUUU
This 84-nucleotide small RNA is filed under the name Photobacterium iliopiscarium. The record is from RNAcentral. Lineage: Bacteria; Pseudomonadati; Pseudomonadota; Gammaproteobacteria; Vibrionales; Vibrionaceae.